GUCAUCCUCCACCAACACUUUAAACUGAUAGGACUCUGAAGGGUGUUUUAUUAAUCGUUCUCUUUAACUUAAAAG
RNAcentral lists this transfer RNA (75 nucleotides) under Taylorella equigenitalis. RNAcentral describes it as "tRNA-Ala". The record is from RNAcentral. Lineage: Bacteria; Pseudomonadati; Pseudomonadota; Betaproteobacteria; Burkholderiales; Alcaligenaceae.